RNAcentral lists this ribosomal RNA (411 nucleotides) under uncultured bacterium. RNAcentral's name for it is "bacterial SSU rRNA". It matches the Rfam family "Bacterial small subunit ribosomal RNA", at positions 976 to 1381 of the family's 1533-position model. The record is from RNAcentral.
UGGGUUUGACAUCCUCUGACACCCCUGGAAACAGGGCUUUCCCGGCUCUGUCGGGACAGAGUGACAGGUGCUGCAUGGCUGUCGUCAGCUCGUGUCGUGAGAUGUUCGGUUAAGUCCGGCAACGAGCGCAACCCUUGUCUUCAGUUGCCAGCACGUAAAGGUGGGAACUCUGAAGAGACUGCCCCGGUUAACGGGGAGGAAGGUGGGGAUGACGUCAAGUCCUCAUGGCCCUUAUGUCUGGGGCUACACACGUGCUACAAUGGUAUGUACAAAGGGCAGCAAGCAUGCGAGUGCAAGCCAAUCCCUUAAAGCAUAUCCCAGUCCGGAUUGGAGUCUGCAACUCGACUCCAUGAAGUUGGAAUCGCUAGUAAUCGUGGAUCAGCAUGCCACGGUGAAUACGUUCCCGGGCCU